AACGAACGCUGGCGGCAGGCCUAACACAUGCAAGUCGAGCGGACCCUUCGGGGUUAGCGGCGGACGGGUGAGUAACGCGUGGGAAUAUGCCCUUCUCUACGGAAUAGUCCUGGGAAACUGGGGGUAAUACCGUAUACGCCCUUUGGGGGAAAGAUUUAUCGGGGAAGGAUUAGCCCGCGUUGGAUUAGGUAGUUGGUGGGGUAAUGGCCUACCAAGCCGACGAUCCAUAGCUGGUUUGAGAGGAUGAUCAGCCACACUGGGACUGAGACACGGCGCAGACUCGUACGGGAGGCAGGAGGGGGUAUCAUGAGUGAAGGGGGCCACCCCUGCUCCGGCCAUGCCGUGUGAGUAAUGAAGGCCUUAGUGUUGUAGACCCUUGUCAGCUGGGAAAGUAAUGACGGUCCCAGAAGACGAGGCCCCGCACACCCCCGUGCCAGCAGCCGGGUUAAUAAUCGGACUGGCUCCCGUCUGCAC
RNAcentral lists this ribosomal RNA (474 nucleotides) under uncultured bacterium. Its description in RNAcentral is "partial 16S ribosomal RNA". It matches the Rfam family "Bacterial small subunit ribosomal RNA", at positions 33 to 541 of the family's 1533-position model. The record is from RNAcentral.